UACGUAGGGUCCGAGCGUUGUCCGGAAUUACUGGGCGUAAAGAGCUCGUAGGUGGUUUGUCGCGUUGUUCGUGAAAACUCACAGCUUAACUGUGGGCGUGCGGGCGAUACGGGCAGACUUGAGUACUGCAGGGGAGACUGGAAUUCCUGGUGUAGCGGUGGAAUGCGCAGAUAUCAGGAGGAACACCGGUGGCGAAGGCGGGACUCUGGGCCGAUACUGACGCUGAGGAGCGAAAGCGUGGGGAGCGAACAGG
Molecule: ribosomal RNA, 253 nt
Filed under: uncultured bacterium
Lineage: Bacteria
Description: partial 16S ribosomal RNA
Rfam family: Bacterial small subunit ribosomal RNA
Source: RNAcentral